CCCUUAGAUGUUCUGGGCCGCACGCGUGCUACACUGAGUGGAUCAGCGGGUCAGGUUACGCGAGAGCGUUUCCUAAUCUUUAAAUCCGCUCGUGAUGGGGAUUGACGGUUGCAAUUUUCUGUCAUGAACGAGGAAUACCUUGUAAGCGCGGGUCAUCAUCCCGCGCUGAAUACGUCCCUGCCCUUUGUACACACCGCCCGUCGCUCCUACCGAUUGAGUGGUCCGGUGAGGCUUUGGGAUCUGAGCGGAAAGAGCGUUUCGCUGUUUCUGCUCGGAAAACUCAGUCGAACCUUAUCAUUUAGAGGAAGGAGAAGUCGUAACA
Molecule: ribosomal RNA, 322 nt
Filed under: uncultured eukaryote
Lineage: Eukaryota
Description: partial 18S ribosomal RNA
Rfam family: Eukaryotic small subunit ribosomal RNA
Source: RNAcentral